UACGAAGGGGGCUAGCGUUGCUCGGAAUUACUGGGCGUAAAGCGCACGUAGGCGGUCUUUUUAAGUCGGGGGUGAAAUCCUGGAGCUCAACUCCAGAACUGCCUUCGAUACUGGAAGACUUGAGUCCGGGAGAGGUGAGUGGAACUGCGAGUGUAGAGGUGAAAUUCGUAGAUAUUCGCAAGAACACCAGUGGCGAAGGCGGCUCACUGGCCCGGUACUGACGCUGAGGUGCGAAAGCGUGGGGAUCAAACAGGG
RNAcentral lists this ribosomal RNA (255 nucleotides) under uncultured bacterium. RNAcentral's name for it is "partial 16S ribosomal RNA". It matches the Rfam family "Bacterial small subunit ribosomal RNA", at positions 524 to 777 of the family's 1533-position model. The record is from RNAcentral.